This 317-nucleotide long non-coding RNA is filed under the name Brassica napus (rape). RNAcentral's name for it is "long non-coding RNA (BNAP_LNC018095)". Lineage: Eukaryota; Viridiplantae; Streptophyta; Magnoliopsida; Brassicales; Brassicaceae. The record is from RNAcentral.
GUAAAAGACACUUAUACUUCUAGGAUUAACUAAUCUAGACUUACGAUUUAGAAUUGAAGGGCGAGGUAAGGUUUUUGGAAUGUGAAAUUUAGGAUUCUAAUAAAUAUAUAAAUAAAUACUUAAAAAGAUUUAAAUUUUAAAAAAAAAAUAGUGUCAAACAUAAUUUUCGAUUUUCAAAAAGAAAUUUAAAUAAUGAUUUAUUAUAUAUAUAUAGAUAACAAGGUAUAAAAGUCUUUUGCCACUUAAUGGGGAAAGUAUUUUUGAAAAUGUCUUUUAAGUGGUGGUAAAGAAGAAAAGUGGUACCAUGAAAGUGGUAA